AUAAUGCUGCAAUGAACAUGGGGGUGCAUAUCUUUUCAAGUCCGUGUUUUCAUUUUCUCCAGAGAAAAAGAGUGAAACAACAUCCAUUCUCUAUUCAUGAUCUCUGUUCCUUUCGUAUGUACAAGGGUCUCUAGAAUGAGAGGGCAGUUCUGCAGCCUAGAUCUCCCGAAGUGCAGCAAACAUCUGUGACUCUAAUGAGGUCAUCAUUGAGGGUGUCCAGAGAGCCGGGCCCUGAGAACUGACCUCACCUCUGCCUGAACAUAAAGUACAAGUGCUGUGGGGAAGCAGGACAAAUUAAAUGGGGGAGCUGGCACUUGGCUAUGAAGCAGAUGCUCAUGCUAAGAGGCUCUCAUGGUUCAUGACUCGUAGGUUAUGAAGUCAAAAGAUUCUUGGCUAUGGCUUUAAAAAUGAACAUCUUCAUGACUCAUUUUAAUCCAGAUCUCAUCACAUGCAUGGAAAGAGAUGUGUUCGGGUGACUACAUUUUAGAAAACGGUGUCUGUCAGAGAAUCAUUGCCAUCCACAUGUGAGCGAUAUCAAGAGAAAUAUCUUUCUGACUCAAGCUUAUGCCUAUUCUGUUUUGAUUGUUCUUAAUCUACAAGUGUCCUUGAAAACCAAUC
Long non-coding RNA from Canis lupus familiaris (dog), 618 nucleotides. RefSeq lists it as uncharacterized. The record is from RefSeq and is a predicted model, not a curated record. Lineage: Eukaryota; Metazoa; Chordata; Mammalia; Carnivora; Canidae. The transcript has 6 exons.